GUUGUUUCGCUUGUUUGUUGUUUCGCCUGUUCGUUUCACCCAUUUGUUCUUUCUUUCCUUUUUUAUGUUCCCUCCACUUUGAUGUUUCCCGCUCAUUUUGCGUACAUUCCGAUGAGCGACUCACCCGUUUAUUGCAUGACCUGUUUGUUUCCCUGCGUCGCGCCUCAGUGCCCACGCGCAGCUGUGUUUUGCUCGGUCGGGCACAUCCAUUUUGUGGAACGCCUGCGGGAAAUUUAGCGUUUCCCCCUUAACCGCCGCAUCGUUACACCGUUACACCGUUGCACCCGCCGUUUGUUGCACUCGUUUAUGCCACAGAGUUACGCAGUCGUAAAAAUAGAGAGACCCACCCACUGAGAGCACCCACCGUGAGAAGCCACCGAGAGCUCCCCCCUGAUAGAACCCCCGCGAGACAGUUUCCUUUUUUUUUUUUUUUUUUUUAACAUUUUUGUUUAUAUCAAAGGAUGUUGUUCUAUUUUUCUUGAAUUUUUUUUUUUUUUUUUUUUUUGGAAAGGUGUAUCAUGGGCAGAGCAACCCCGCUUGUGAGUAUCUACACAGAUAGAUAAACUCAUGUUCACCUUUUAAAAAAGAAAAAAAAAAAAAAAAAAAAGAAAAAAUGAAUGUACAAAUCCCGAACCUGCAUGGGAAGAAAUUCUCACCCUGAACCCAAGAAGUGCCUGAUUGUUUGCUCAUAAGUAACUGGUUAACUGCAAUCAUGAAAGAGGAAGAGGACAGAGAACGAUAGCAUAUGGUUUGGCUCCUCGUCUUUUUGUUUUUUUUUUUUCAUAGCAGUUAAACACGAACAUGAGGUUGUAUAAUGGAUUAGGGCGGAAGUUCCCCCCGAAAGGAAGCGCUCCUAUUUGAAGCCCCUAAUCUUUCUGUGUUUGGAAGGGAAAAAGGAAAAUGCAGAAAAGUGGGAAAAGGGAGAGAAAAGUGGUUGGAGAGGUAACCUAAAAGAAGAAGGAAAAAGUGGAAGAGGGAAUAGAAAGGAAAAAGGAGAAGAAGAAGAAUGAAGGGAUGAAGUAUGAUAUAUUUGUCUUUACUGACUUUCGUUUUUUUUUUUUUUUUUUUUCCUUUCCUUCCUCUUCCCUUUUGUGCUUCUUCUUAUAGGGGAUUUCUCCUUCCUUGCAUCUUUGCCCUUUUCCACGUUUCUGCAUUUUCCCUUUCCAUCCAAAAAGAAACGGAAAGGUCCUUAUACUUCAAUCAGUCUACUCAACAUUGCGCUGUUUUUAUCUCUCAAGUCGGCCAGGAGAUAACCGUUUUGUUUUUUCGUCCCCCUUUUGAUUUGCUUGUUCAGGUAGGUUAUUUUGUUUAUAUGUUUAUUUGUUUAUUUUUUUUUUUUUUCCUCCUCUUAUGCUACACAUAUCAGUUGUGAGUGGACCCUCUUGGUGCCCCCCCUUGCCUGUAAAAGCGCGUAGGGAGGGAACACCAUGCGGUUUCGUUAGCUGUUGCUAUGUGUAGCAUAAGAGGGGAAAAGAAAAAAAAAUAAAUAAACAAACAGAUGAACAGAAUAAUCUACCUGAACAGAUUUUUCAAAAGUGAGACGAGAAAACAAAACCACACGCGGAGAACAAACGCAUAGUGGGAAGUCCAGUACGGUGCGUGUGUGUGCGUAUGUAUCUGUGUAUAUGCUGCUGCGUAUGUGCUGCUGCGUAUGUGCUGCAGUGUAUGGACGGACAACCUUGCCACCUCCCCCGAACGACUGCUCCCGGUGUGCGCUUUGUUCGAAGCAAGAAGGGGAAACCUCCGUCGAAUCGAAUUCGCGCAGUUGCUUUUCCCCUUAACGAUGGCUGGAAUCUAUCUGCAUCCUUUCCCAACGAGAGGUGUAUGGCCAUUUUUUAAAUAGCUGUACCCCUCUCGGGGGGAAGGGAUGUCCCAUUUCAUGGUGCAGUUAACUCUGCGUGAAUACAAUGACAGGUUGUUUCAUUACAGACAUGAAAAGGAUAGAGAAUGACCAAGGAUGUGAUGCAAUUCUACUCGUAGAAUUGUGAUCAAAAUUCGUUUUGCCUUCCAAAUAAAAGAGCAUUUCUAAAAGAAGCAAACUUAUUGUAAACAGCUAGCAAGUUUGACGCACAUGGCAGGGGCACUCCUACGUGUACAUAAAUAUGCACACAGAUAGGAGAGGGGGGAAUAUCCCUAUGCAAGAAGCGACGAUUAAUAAUUUCCAUUCACGCAACGGAGCAUGUGAUUGAAAUUUUAAUUCGCCUCGCUCUUCAUAGGGAUAUUUCUGCAUUCGGGAUUUUGUUACAACUGUACAAUGACCCAUGUGAAGG
Molecule: small RNA, 2270 nt
Filed under: Plasmodium vivax (malaria parasite P. vivax)
Lineage: Eukaryota; Apicomplexa; Aconoidasida; Haemosporida; Plasmodiidae
Description: sRNA TR
Source: RNAcentral